Molecule: ribosomal RNA, 418 nt
Filed under: uncultured bacterium
Lineage: Bacteria
Description: bacterial SSU rRNA
Rfam family: Bacterial small subunit ribosomal RNA
Source: RNAcentral
GGAAUAUUGGUCAAUGGACGAAAGUCUGAACCAGCCAUGCCGCGUGGAGGAUGAAGGUCCUCUGGAUUGUAAACUUCUUUUAUCUGGGACGAAAAAAGGCUUUUCUAAGUCGUCUGACGGUACCAGGUGAAUAAGCACCGGCUAACUCAGUGCCAGCAGCCGCGGUAAUCCUGAGGGUGCAAGCGUUAUCCGGAUUCACUGGGGUUAAAGGGUGCGUAGGUGGAUUGCCAAGUCCGUGGUGAAAUCUUCGAGCUUAACUCGGAAACUGCCGUGGAUACUGGUAGUCUUGAAUACCGUGGAGGUCAGCGGAAUAUGUCAUGUAGCGGUGAAAUGCUUAGAUAUGACAUAGAACACCAAUUGCGAAGGCAGCUGACUACGCGAAUAUUGACACUCAGGCACGAAAGCGUGGGGAUCAAAC